AAGGAACAAGAAAGGUCCUAAAGAAUAAUAUGUUUGUCUUUCUUUGCUCGUCUUCAUCUUUGUCUUUAUAUAUAUAUCUUUAUUUUCCUUCUUCUUUU
This 98-nucleotide non-coding RNA is filed under the name Pteridomonas danica. Lineage: Eukaryota; Dictyochophyceae; Pedinellales. The record is from RNAcentral.